CCCCCCCACACACACACACUCUUUGAACCAUUUUCUAACAGCAUCAGAUGUGCAAAUUUUCAGUUGCCAAAACUAAGGCACAAAUUCUUAACUUCCAAAUCUACCCUGAAAGUUGAUGUUAUUAAGCUGGUUCUGUGGGAGAACAAAAUAUCAUUUAGGAAAAAAAUGGCAAAUUUAGUCAUGCCAAUGACUGAUUCUGACAUCAUAUAGGUCAAUAAUAAACACUGGUUUGCCAGAGUUAGUGUUUUGGGGAAAUUUAAAUUAAAUUCAGUGAAAUAUAUUUGUGUGCAGAGAUUGUCCCAAAGCAGUUACCCAUAGAACCUGGUCACGUUGGAUGCCCACAGUGUUCGAUUACAUUUUGAGAACUCUAAGUGCCAAUCAGGGGUGGCCAUCUCCAGAGUUGGACAGGAUGGAAGAACACGCCAGAUUUAUCAAAAUUACUUCUGUUAAAAAGUGGGUUUUUGGUCAAGUCAAAUGGAAGCCUACCAACUUAGAGCAUCUUCUAUACCCUUCAUGGUGCAAUGGGAAAAUCAUACUUAAAGUUCCAACAGCUUUUAAAAUUCACACACACAGCCACAAAAAUGCUUUAACAUAGAGUUCAAAGGGAAAAUCGGUCUCCUGUCCUUCAAAGCAAGGCCAGACUGCUUCAUAUCUCUUUCAGCAUGAAUCUGCUUACAGGAUUGGAAAGAUAUAUGUGAAGGUUUCUCCUGAGAAGGCCAAGUCCCUCAACCUGUCCAUUCUUUUUAGUAGAGGGGCAGUGGGACCAAGGCAGAGAGCAAACACCUUCUGCAAUUCUCCAAGCCUGGCACUUUGCAGACCAAAGAAAUGCUGAUCGAUAUGGAAAAGCACAGACAACCACAUUCCCUCAGGGAAUUUUGAUGGUGACAGCACAAGAAACGGAGUAGUCAAGAAGAGAGAUUAUAGAUAACUGUAAACAGAAGGUAGACGUUGAGUUUUGUUGGGAGUUAGAGGUCUUUUUUGGAACAGGAGUGUGUUCUUGUAGGGAGAACACGUGUUUUCAGGGUGAACAGUCUGUUUAUGAAGAUAGCCUUGCACCAUCAGGAAACAUGUGCGAAGUAGUCUGCUUACUAGCAAUUAAAGGGUUUACAUUAAUUUAACCUCAUGCCUUGGUCUAGUAAUUAAUGGCAUGCACAGCAGAUGCCUUAACCACAACCACAGAGCUCAAUAAAGAUAGACAGUUGUUGGGGGGUUGGGGAGGGGGGCGGUAAGGCCAGGACCUGACCACAUUGUCUGCACAGGGUCUUCCUUAUCAAGAAGCUUAAGGUAGGGCAUUUUGUUCUAAUUCCUUCGAACUAGGUCAUGUCUCUUUUUAUUUUGGUUGAGCACAUUAAAUUAAGCAACAAGUCAAAACAUUUCUUUUUCUUGCUCUGACGUAGAAUUGUGUGCCACGUUAAGGUUAAGCACACUUUUCAAAACUCCAUUUUAGUCUAUUUUGAGGCUCCAAAAUUAUAUAGAUUUCAGUAAGAGCUCACAUGCUUCAGAGAGUAGGAAAGGAGUCCCCAAAAAUAUUUGAUGACUUGGCAACUAUCCUCACUAACUCUCAAUUAACUUCAAAAGCAAUGAGGAGUGUUGAAUGAUUUGGGAAAGGUUUAUUCUGAAAAUUUUAUCAGGUGGACAUAGUGAAGGUCAUCAGCAUGCUUUCUAAAAAAUCAAAAUGUGAAGACUUAAAUUUCUGACUGGUUAUUCCUUAAUAUAAUACAUCACGCGCAACCUGAAUUUCACUUUCCUCUAUAAUAACUUCUAUGACCUUUUGGCUUAGAUGAUCAAAUUAAGCAUUUGGUUUGACCAUAUGCUGUGUAGUCGCAUUAAAACCCACGACUGGGGAAUAAGGGAUUUGCUAGGAGCCAAUCUUGGCUAGCGAUGCUGUGCCUCUCAAGCCAAUGGAGCAAUUAAAUGGGAGAGAUUUCUCCCUGGGCAUAAAACUGCUGUUGCCAACAUAACAUGUUUAAUUAAAUUGGCCUGGGUAUAUUAAAGAUGAAAUUAGAGGAGGAUAGCUGCAAAUCUGUGCUCCAUUUUACAACCCCGUGUCUGAUCAUAUCAAAUGCAGGCGCACUUGGUUUUGUUCUCCCAGACCACAAGGUGGAGCCAGGGUAGCCAUGACUCAUUAAAAUGUCCUCAGCAUGUCUCUCACAUGUGGCCACACUUCCCUUGUGCGCAGGUACUUAUUGUCAUUCAACAAAGUGUUUCAAUCCUUUUUGAAAAAGUGGGUUUUCAGCUCAGGAAAACAGCAGCUAUUUUAAGUUGUUUAUAGCUCUAAACAUCAAUGCUCCUGUUUGAACAGAUAAAAGUCUUUAUUCCCCUGUAUGUUUACAUAAGAAAUUUGUUUACAGACUUGUUUUUAUAUAAUACUUGCGUAGCAAUGUUCAAAUUUCACAUUUUUACUGCAUAAGAUAGCUUCAUGUACCUCUGUUUGCUCUGUCUUCUUGGGAGAGCGGGGAUAAUGACCUGUGGUAAAUAUACAUCCACGUGAGGAGGGGCGUGCAAUAGGGCAGAGAGUACUGGCAGGAAAAGAGUACAUUCAGAUACUAUAUCAAAGUGGGAACCAAGACAGUGUCUUCCACUCUAGCAACUACCACCACUAGGUAACUUUGCAUUACCCAAAACACCUCCCUCCCCCACCUCAGUGAAGGGACACCAAGGAGAAACAAAAUGGUAUCUUGAUACAGAUUAUUUGAAAUGGAAGCCAUUCAGGAUUCAUUCUGACUCAAAAAACCCAAGCACAUCCAGGAACAUUACUAGCAUGGACAAGGAAAAGGCUAACAGCUCAUAAAUGUAUAGUCUCUAAAGGGGAAUGAAAGAUAGCUUUGUAAUAUCUGGAGUAUUUCAGUAAAUAUUCCAUUUUAAAAUUCAUGUGAUAGUUUCUCUGUUCCGCUUGGCAGCCUCUAAUUUACUUAAUUCAGUAUUUUGGACAAUCUUAUCUUUUUUUCUUUUCUUUUUUCUUUUUUUAAAUGAGGUUACCCUGUCAUUUUUAUCUCCAAACUCUAAGCUAGUGGCUAUAGUAUCUGGAUAGUCUUAUAAACUGAGAAAGUUAAAGACUCAUGGAGCUCACAAACUUCAUCAUGGAAACUUUAUUUUGGCCCAAGGUAUCUACAGUGUGCUGGGCUGAACAAGUUAUUAUCUUCAUACCUCUGGGAUGAGGUCAACCCCGAAGGUCCCCUGCUUACCACAGCACUGCUGAAAGCAAAGCUGUUUCUGAUCUGGGAGAAGAUUGGGCUGACUUAAAUAAAAAUGAUCAAUUAUUGGUCAGGAGAGUGGGAAAAAGUAUUAUAAACAAAAUUAACAUGUCAUCUUGAGAAAAACAGCCUCUUUUUUUGUUUGUUCCCCUAUAAUUAUUAGCAAUCCAAGUUUUAUAAUUAUAAUUUAAGUGGCAAGUUCAUUAUCAAAUGACACUGAACAACGUGACAACCUAUUUUAGAGGUAUUUUAAAAAUAUGUAUCUUCCAUUUUUCUAAACUACACUAAAGACAGGCUAAACCAGUCAUUCACUUAUUCAGAAUAUUAAGAAAGUUAAGAAUGAUCAUUGUCCCUUUCCAUUAUAAGGUUCUUCCUGAAAAUGUUGUGUGGAUUAUAUUCUUUACUAUCUUUAAUAGUAACUACUCUUGAUCUUAGGGUGGUGAUUUUGCCUUUGGAAACAGCUAAAUGUCACUUAGAACCAAGAGUGGUAGAAAAAGUAGACUAAAAAAACACACACCUAUUUUCAGGUGCUGAAAGUGAUACCAAUUAGGUAAUAAUAACUGAUUUUCUUAUACCUUAUUACCUUCCUUGAUAGUAUUUCUAAGGAGAGCAGUUUCAAAAAUAACUUUAAUGAUUAAGAUAAGUAUUAGGUUCCCAACUAAAAUCAAGGAACAACACUCAAUUAGAUGUCAAAAUUCCAAUAUGUCUGCUAAAGUAAUCAUUAAUUAUAACCAUAUUUAUAAGUGUCCACUUAAGCCUUAUCUCUUGUGAUAUGUUUUUAAAAACAAUGGGACUUGAAUUUGGCAAUCUAGUUAUUAGAAUGCUCUAAA
Molecule: long non-coding RNA, 4024 nt
Organism: Myotis davidii
Lineage: Eukaryota; Metazoa; Chordata; Mammalia; Chiroptera; Vespertilionidae
Exons: 2
Source: RefSeq, a predicted model, not a curated record